GAUGAACGCUGGCGGCGUGCUUAACACAUGCAAGUCGAACGAAGCACUUUAAUUGAUUUCUUCGGAAUGAAGUUUUUGUGGCUGAGUGGCGGACGGGUGAGUAACGCGUGGGUAACCUGCCUCAUACAGGGGGAUAACAGUUGGAAACGACUGCUAAUACCGCAUAAGCGCACAGGAUUGCAUGAUCCAGUGUGAAAAACUCCGGUGGUAUGAGAUGGACCCGCGUCUGAUUAGCCAGUUGGCGGGGUAACGGCCCACCAAAGCGACGAUCAGUAGCCGACCUGAGAGGGUGAUCGGCCACAUUGGGACUGAGACACGGCCCAAACUCCUACGGGAGGCAGCAGUGGGGAAUAUUGCACAAUGGGGGAAACCCUGAUGCAGCGACGCCGCGUGAGCGAAGAAGUAUUUCGGUAUGUAAAGCUCUAUCAGCAGGGAAGAAGAAUGACGGUACCUGACUAAGAAGCAC
RNAcentral lists this ribosomal RNA (466 nucleotides) under uncultured bacterium. Its description in RNAcentral is "bacterial SSU rRNA". It matches the Rfam family "Bacterial small subunit ribosomal RNA", at positions 28 to 493 of the family's 1533-position model. The record is from RNAcentral.